This 732-nucleotide unclassified non-coding RNA is filed under the name Hevea brasiliensis (rubber tree). Lineage: Eukaryota; Viridiplantae; Streptophyta; Magnoliopsida; Malpighiales; Euphorbiaceae. The record is from RNAcentral.
GAAGGGGAAAAGCCUGCAAUAAUUGAGGUGCAAUUGAGUUUAGAGGAAAGGGCAAAGUAAAGAAACAGAAGUGAGAACAUUUAAAAAGUUACCAGCAACUGGAAUCAUCUAAAUCAGUAAAAAGGUAAAAAAUUAUUAACAGAGGACACACGUACAUUAAAUCAUCCCUUUCCAAUCAUCCAAAAAACAAUAUUGAAUCUCCAUGUACCAUGUACACCAUCUUAAAUGACAGGUAAAUCAUCUUAUUCUGAAAGCCUCAAUCUUCAAUAAGGCCUUAGAUCUUAAGAUAAAUUAUAAAUUAUUUAUAAUUUAUAGAUCUUAGUUCUUAAGAUAAUGGUAGAGUGCAUGAGAUUUUUACAAAUUAUUUAGACAACAUGAAUUACUCAGCCUGCAUCAUUUAUUUAUUAAUAAAAAAAUAUUCUACAAAUAUCUUAGUUAGAGAUACUUAAACGGCAAAAGAGCUUCUCAAAAGGUAAGAAGUAAGCAGAAUGUUUAGAAGAAAACUAAACUAGAUAUUCUGUAGAUGUAUCAAUGGCCUAUGAAGUUCUCUAAUCAACAGGAGAGUAGAGAGGUAAACAAUUGAAAGCAUCAUUCCUAAACGAACAGGAAACUACAAUGAGUUAAAGAAUUAAAAGCAUCAUUCCGGAAACAAAAAUCUAAAAAUAAAGAAACACAUCUAUGCAUGGAAUGAAGAAAACUUAACUAUAAGGAUUCUUUUCCAAGGUCACUCAG